This 274-nucleotide ribosomal RNA is filed under the name uncultured bacterium. RNAcentral's name for it is "partial 16S ribosomal RNA". It matches the Rfam family "Bacterial small subunit ribosomal RNA", at positions 523 to 796 of the family's 1533-position model. The record is from RNAcentral.
AUACGGGGGGAGCAAGCGUUGUCCGGAAUCACUAGGCGUAAAGGGCAAGUAGGCGGAUAUAUAAGUCAGUUGUUAAAUUCAUGGGCUCAACCGAUGUUCGGCAGUUGAUACUGUAUAUCUAGAGUAAGCUGGGGGAAGACGGAGUUCCUGGUGUAGCGGUGGAAUGCGCAGAUAUCAGGAAGAACACCGGUGGCGAAGGCGGUCUUCUACGCCCUUACUGACGCUCAAUUGCGAAGGUGUGGGUAUCAAACAGGAUUAGAAACCCCUGUAGUCC